GUUUGCACUCAUCGGGGAAGGGUGAGAACCUUCGACUAAGGUUCGAUUCGAGCGAAAGCGAGAGAACGUUGCCACAGGCAAC
Molecule: small RNA, 82 nt
Filed under: Escherichia coli
Lineage: Bacteria; Pseudomonadati; Pseudomonadota; Gammaproteobacteria; Enterobacterales; Enterobacteriaceae
Description: partial RtT sRNA
Rfam family: RtT RNA
About the family: This family represents a bacterial cis-regulatory element known as RtT RNA. The exact function of RtT is unknown although it is thought that it may be involved in changing the cellular response in relation to amino acid starvation.
Source: RNAcentral